UAAGUGAUAGCUUAAAUCUAAAGCACCUAUCUGUUAAUUAGGUAAAUGUUUAUAUAAACUCACUUAG
RNAcentral lists this transfer RNA (67 nucleotides) under Enchytraeus irregularis. RNAcentral's name for it is "tRNA-Asn". It matches the Rfam family "tRNA". Rfam says of the family: Transfer RNA (tRNA) molecules are approximately 80 nucleotides in length. Their secondary structure includes four short double-helical elements and three loops (D, anti-codon, and T loops). Further hydrogen bonds mediate the characteristic L-shaped molecular structure. tRNAs have two regions of fundamental functional importance: the anti-codon, which is responsible for specific mRNA codon recognition, and the 3' end, to which the tRNAs corresponding amino acid is attached (by aminoacyl-tRNA synthetases). tRNAs cope with the degeneracy of the genetic code in two manners: having more than one tRNA (with a specific anti-codon) for a particular amino acid; and 'wobble' base-pairing, i.e. permitting non-standard base-pairing at the 3rd anti-codon position. Lineage: Eukaryota; Metazoa; Annelida; Clitellata; Enchytraeida; Enchytraeidae. The record is from RNAcentral.